RNAcentral lists this ribosomal RNA (322 nucleotides) under uncultured eukaryote. RNAcentral describes it as "partial 18S ribosomal RNA". It matches the Rfam family "Eukaryotic small subunit ribosomal RNA", at positions 1470 to 1796 of the family's 1831-position model. The record is from RNAcentral.
CCCUUAGAUGUUCUGGGCCGCACGCGUGCUACACUGAGUGGAUCAGCGGGUCAGGUUGCGCGAAAGCGUUUCCUAAUCUUUAAAUCUGCUCGUGAUGGGGAUUGACGGUUGCAAUUUUCUGUCAUGAACGAGGAAUACCUUGUAAGCGCGGGUCAUCAUCCCGCGCUGAAUACGUCCCUGCCCUUUGUACACACCGCCCGUCGCUCCUGCCGAUUGAGUGGUCCGGUGAGGCUUUGGGAUCUGAGCGGAAAGAGCGUUUCGCUGUUUCUGCUCGGAAAACUCAGUCGAACCUUAUCAUUUAGAGGAAGGAGAAGUCGUAACA